GAGUUUGAUCCUGGCUCAGGAUGAACGCUGGCGGCGUGCCUAAUACAUGCAAGUCGAGCGAACGGACGAGAAGCUUGCUUCUCUGAUGUUAGCGGCGGACGGGUGAGUAACACGUGGAUAACCUACCUAUAAGACUGGGAUAACUUCGGGAAACCGGAGCUAAUACCGGAUGAUAUUUUGAACCGCAUGGUUCAAAAGUGAAAGACGGUCUUGCUGUCACUUAUAGAUGGAUCCGCGCUGCAUUAGCUAGUUGGUAAGGUAACGGCUUACCAAGGCAACGAUGCAUAGCCGACCUGAGAGGGUGAUCGGCCACACUGGAACUGAGACACGGUCCAGACUCCUACGGGAGGCAGCAGUAGGGAAUCUUCCGCAAUGGGCGAAAGCCUGACGGAGCAACGCCGCGUGAGUGAUGAAGGUCUUCGGAUCGUAAAACUCUGUUAUUAGGGAAGAACAUAUGUGUAAGUAACUGUGCACAUCUUGACGGUACCUAAUCAGAAAGCCACGGCUAACUACGUGCCAGCAGCCGCGGUAAUACGUAGGUGGCAAGCGUUAUCCGGAAUUAUUGGGCGUAAAGCGCGCGUAGGCGGUUUUUUAAGUCUGAUGUGAAAGCCCACGGCUCAACCGUGGAGGGUCAUUGGAAACUGGAAAACUUGAGUGCAGAAGAGGAAAGUGGAAUUCCAUGUGUAGCGGUGAAAUGCGCAGAGAUAUGGAGGAACACCAGUGGCGAAGGCGACUUUCUGGUCUGUAACUGACGCUGAUGUGCGAAAGCGUGGGGAUAAAACAGGAUUAGAUACCCUGGUAGUCCACGCCGUAAACGAUGAGUGCUAAGUGUUAGGGGGUUUCCGCCCCUUAGUGCUGCAGCUAACGCAUUAAGCACUCCGCCUGGGGAGUACGACCGCAAGGUUGAAACUCAAAGGAAUUGACGGGGACCCGCACAAGCGGUGGAGCAUGUGGUUUAAUUCGAAGCAACGCGAAGAACCUUACCAAAUCUUGACAUCCUUUGACAACUCUAGAGAUAGAGCCUUCCCCUUCGGGGGACAAAGUGACAGGUGGUGCAUGGUUGUCGUCAGCUCGUGUCGUGAGAUGUUGGGUUAAGUCCCGCAACGAGCGCAACCCUUAAGCUUAGUUGCCAUCAUUAAGUUGGGCACUCUAAGUUGACUGCCGGUGACAAACCGGAGGAAGGUGGGGAUGACGUCAAAUCAUCAUGCCCCUUAUGAUUUGGGCUACACACGUGCUACAAUGGACAAUACAAAGGGCAGCGAAACCGCGAGGUCAAGCAAAUCCCAUAAAGUUGUUCUCAGUUCGGAUUGUAGUCUGCAACUCGACUACAUGAAGCUGGAAUCGCUAGUAAUCGUAGAUCAGCAUGCUACGGUGAAUACGUUCCCGGGUCUUGUACACACCGCCCGUCACACCACGAGAGUUUGUAACACCCGAAGCCGGUGGAGUAACCUUUUAGGAGCUAGCCGUCGAAGGUGGGACAAAUGAUUGGGGUGAAGUCGUAACAAGGUAGCCGUAUCGGAAGGUGCGGCUGGAUCACC
This 1538-nucleotide ribosomal RNA is filed under the name Staphylococcus aureus subsp. aureus CIG1770. RNAcentral's name for it is "16S ribosomal RNA". It matches the Rfam family "Bacterial small subunit ribosomal RNA". Lineage: Bacteria; Bacillati; Bacillota; Bacilli; Caryophanales; Staphylococcaceae. The record is from RNAcentral.